Molecule: ribosomal RNA, 253 nt
Filed under: uncultured bacterium
Lineage: Bacteria
Description: partial 16S ribosomal RNA
Rfam family: Bacterial small subunit ribosomal RNA
Source: RNAcentral
UACGAGUGCCUCAAGCGUUAUCCGGAAUUAUUGGGCGUAAAGGGUGUGUAGGCGGUCUUGUUAGUCUUCUGUGAAAUCUCCCGGCUUAACCGGGAACACGCAGGGGAAACGGCAAGACUAGAGGAUGUGAGAGGUGAACGGAACUCUAAGUGUAGGGGUAAAAUCCGUUGAUAUUUAGGGGAACACCAAAUGCGAAGGCAGUUCACUGGCACAUUCCUGACGCUGAAACACGAAAGCGUGGGUAGCGAAUGGG